AUUGAACGCUGGCGGCAUGCUUUACACAUGCAAGUCGAACGGUAACAGGCCUUCGGGUGCUGACGAGUGGCGAACGGGUGAGUAAUGCAUCGGAACGUACCCAGAGGUGGGGGAUAACGCAGCGAAAGCUGUGCUAAUACCGCAUGUGAUCUGAGGAUGAAAGCGGGGGACCGAGCAGCAAUGUUUGGCCUCGCGCCUUUGGAGCGGCCGAUGUCGGAUUAGCUAGUUAGUGGGGUAAAGGCCUACCAAGGCGACGAUCCGUAGCUGGUCUGAGAGGACGACCAGCCACACUGGGACUGAGACACGGCCCAGACUCCUACGGGAGGCAGCAGUGGGGAAUUUUGGACAAUGGGCGCAAGCCUGAUCCAGCAAUGCCGCGUGCGGGAAGAAGGCCUUCGGGUUGUAAACCGCUUUUGGCAGGAACGAAACGGUGUCCGCUAAUACCGGGCGCUAAUGACGGUACCUGCAGAAUAAGCACCGGCUAACUACGUG
RNAcentral lists this ribosomal RNA (492 nucleotides) under uncultured bacterium. Its description in RNAcentral is "partial 16S ribosomal RNA". It matches the Rfam family "Bacterial small subunit ribosomal RNA", at positions 29 to 507 of the family's 1533-position model. The record is from RNAcentral.